Molecule: long non-coding RNA, 957 nt
Filed under: Medicago truncatula (barrel medic)
Lineage: Eukaryota; Viridiplantae; Streptophyta; Magnoliopsida; Fabales; Fabaceae
Description: long non-coding RNA (MTRU_LNC001293)
Source: RNAcentral
AAUUUGGCCUCAUCUUUUUUCAUCAGAGAACUUCCUCAAAUCUAGCCAUGAUUUCCAGUAGUUCAAAAAUCAUUUGACAGUUACACAAAUAUGGUGGCACAAUUAUACAAAAUCGUGACAAGAUUUGUCAAGAGACCCGAAUAUUCACAAAUUCGCCAUAUUUCAGCUCAAACUUAUAUCCAUUUCAUAUUACUCAUUCCAUCACAAACACCAAACCUACCUAAACCAAACAAUCCUUAUACAUCAAACAUUAAACUCAAUCUCAAUCUCCUUAUCAAAAAUCUACGCAUUUCACUAAAACAUCAAAAACCUCACAAAUGUCUCCAACCAAGAUAACAAGACAAUCCAAAGACACCAAUGCAUCCAACAAUGCACCACAACCACCACCCUACCAAAGCUUCAAAUCCAAAGAACGCGAUUUUUGAAACCAUUGUCCGGUUGAGGGGGUGGGAGAGUUUAAAUAAUAUGGUGAAUGAAGAUAGCAACAGAACAAUUGCAGAGAACAUGAGGGCCUAUACGCAGGGGCAGAUGGGAAGAGAAGCCGAACAAGAACGACAUUUACAAGCUAACUUAUACAGGGGCCAUAAUGGAUAGCUGAGAAUUUCAUGUGAACUGAACACCUUGUUUAGGUCAAUUUAUGUGUUGCAUUUUCUUUCUUAUUUUCAGUUAUUCCUUUUGCUUUUGAGUCAAAACUAUGCGUCGAAAGUAUCUGUUUGAAUUUAUGUUGUAUUCCCCUAUCUUUUGUACUUCACCGUUCUUGUUUAUUAUUAAUGAUUUUUCUUGUUUUUGAAAUUUACUAGUUUAGUAACCAUUAUUUCACCAAUGGUACUUCAAAAGUCAUAAGGAGGUAGAACUUGAAUUGAUGUUCUUGGAUUUAUUUAGGUAUUCACAACUUCCAAAAAUCUCAUCUUGUAAGGUUUAAACUAAAUAUUUCCACUUUAUACUCUUUAUUCUUAU